GAUGAACGCUAGCUACAGGCUUAACACAUGCAAGUCGGGGGGAAACGAUAGAGAAAGCUUGCUUCUUCUAGGCGUCGACCGGCGCACGGGUGAGUAACGCGUAUCCAACCUGCCCAUCACUUGGGGAUAACCUUGCGAAAGUAAGACUAAUACCCAAUGACGUCCAUAGAAGACAUCUGAAAGGGAUUAAAGAUUUAUCGGUGAUGGAUGGGGAUGCGUCUGAUUAGCUUGUUGGCGGGGUAACGGCCCACCAAGGCUACGAUCAGUAGGGGUUCUGAGAGGAAGGUCCCCCACAUUGGAACUGAGACACGGUCCAAACUCCUACGGGAGGCAGCAGUGCGGAAUAUUGGUCAAUGGACGAGAGUCUGAACCAGCCAAGUAGCGUGCAGGAUGACGGCCCUAUGGGUUGUAAACUGCUUUUAUAAGGGAAUAAAGUGAGUCUCGUGAGACUUUUUGCAUGUACCUUAUGAAUAAGGACCGGCUAAUUCCGUGCCAGCAGCCGCAGUAA
This 508-nucleotide ribosomal RNA is filed under the name uncultured bacterium. Its description in RNAcentral is "partial 16S ribosomal RNA". It matches the Rfam family "Bacterial small subunit ribosomal RNA", at positions 28 to 523 of the family's 1533-position model. The record is from RNAcentral.